GCCGCGGGGCUGCCCCGGGGCUGCCCCGGGGCUGCCCCGGGGCUGCCCCGGGGCUGCGGAGCGCGGCGGGAUGGGAUGGGGAUGGGAUGGGCCGGGCCGGGCCGGGCCGGGCCGGGGCCGCGCUGCGGGACCCGCUGAGCGAAUCAAUGUCAUGAUGCAAACUGUCUGUACAAAGUAAGGAAGCAACGUGUGAACCAGGUGAAUUCUUCUGUGCCUCAGCUUACCUGGAAGCACUGGCAAGAUCCAGGGCAGAGAGCCUGGAAGGGAUGAAGCCAAAUACCGGCACCCCCACGACUGCUCCUUGUCCGCUCAGGCUCUGGAGAUCACUCACAUCACCCACAGCAGGUUUGCUCAGGGAGGAAAGUUGCAGCUCUUACAGAAAACAACGUGACAGAGGUUUUGCUUCAACUUCUGAGCAAAGAAAGUAAAAAUUUCCAUAAUAUUUCUGGAGUGACCAGGAUUUUCCAGCUGUACAAAGCCAAAUGUAGAUUAUAAGGGUUUAUCACUGGGAUUUAUAUGCCCAUACAAAUGCAUCUCUGUGUAUGUAAAAGAUGAACAUGUGUGCAAUGUUGUUGUGCAGUAAAGGUAGAAGGGUUUAGGACUUCUGUUUUUCUUUGAAGAAACAAUCCAGGCCCCAGAAGGUUAAGAACUGUUUUAUAAAUCGACACAGUCAGCUUCAGCUCGUGACUUUCCAGCAGAGGGAAAUGCAGCACAAGUGAUGAGGGGCUGUGACAAUGGCAAGCAGCCCUGGCAAAUAUGAACUAUCUCUGUUCUCUUUUAACUUCACUUUCUUCCACUGCCAAACUCUGAUGCAUGCUGAGUGAUUAAAAAUAUCAAAUACAGUGUUA
Long non-coding RNA from Cygnus atratus (black swan), 848 nucleotides. RefSeq lists it as uncharacterized. The transcript has 2 exons. NCBI's taxonomy places the organism in Eukaryota, Metazoa, Chordata, Aves, Anseriformes, Anatidae. The record is from RefSeq and is a predicted model, not a curated record.